UCUCCGUAGGUGAACCUGCGGAAGGAUCAUUAUUGUAUAACCGAGGUGCGAGGGCUGUCGCUGACCCGAAAGGUCGUGCACGCCCGAGUGCCCUCACACACAUCCAUCUCACCCCUGUGUGCACCACCGCGUGGGUCCCCCUUUGGCUUGUUCGGAGGGGGGCUUACGUUUUCACACAAACUUUGUAUGCAGUGUAGAAUGUAUUUUUUGUUUUUGCGAUCACGCAAUCAAUACAACUUUCAACAACGGAUCUCUUGGCUCUC
This 263-nucleotide unclassified non-coding RNA is filed under the name plant metagenome. RNAcentral's name for it is "partial contains small subunit ribosomal RNA, internal transcribed spacer 1, and 5.8S ribosomal RNA". The record is from RNAcentral.